CUCCGGGGAUCAGCGGCGAACGGGUGAGUAACACGUGGGCAACCUGCCCUCAGCUCUGGGAUAACUCCGGGAAACCGGGGCUAAUACCGGAUACGACUUCCUGCGGCAUCACGGGAAGUGGAAAGUUUUUCGGCUGAGGAUGGGCCCGCGGCCUAUCAGCUUGUUGGUGGGGUAACGGCCCACCAAGGCGACGACGGGUAGCCGGCCUGAGAGGGCGACCGGCCACACUGGGACUGAGACACGGCCCAG
Molecule: ribosomal RNA, 249 nt
Filed under: uncultured bacterium
Lineage: Bacteria
Description: partial 16S ribosomal RNA
Rfam family: Bacterial small subunit ribosomal RNA
Source: RNAcentral